This 253-nucleotide ribosomal RNA is filed under the name uncultured bacterium. Its description in RNAcentral is "partial 16S ribosomal RNA". It matches the Rfam family "Bacterial small subunit ribosomal RNA", at positions 524 to 776 of the family's 1533-position model. The record is from RNAcentral.
UACGGAGGAUGCAAGCGUUAUCCGGAAUGAUUGGGCGUAAAGCGUCCGCAGGUGGCUGUGUAAGUCUGCUGUUAAAGAGUCUAGCUCAACCAGAUAAAAGCAGUGGAAACUACACGGCUAGAGUACGUUCGGGGCAGAGGGAAUUCCUGGUGUAGCGGUGAAAUGCGUAGAGAUCAGGAAGAACACCAGUGGCGAAGGCGCUCUGCUAGGCCGUAACUGACACUGAGGGACGAAAGCUAGGGGAGCGAAUGGG